This 468-nucleotide ribosomal RNA is filed under the name uncultured bacterium. RNAcentral's name for it is "partial 16S ribosomal RNA". It matches the Rfam family "Bacterial small subunit ribosomal RNA", at positions 28 to 507 of the family's 1533-position model. The record is from RNAcentral.
GACGAACGCUGGCGGCGUGCUUAACACAUGCAAGUCGAACGGAAAGGCCCUGCUUUUGUGGGGUGCUCGAGUGGCGAACGGGUGUGUAACACGUGAGUAACCUGCCCUUGACUUUGGGAUAACUUCAGGAAACUGGGGCUAAUACCGGAUAGGAGCUCCUUCUGCAUGGUGGUGGUUGGAAAGUUUCGGCGGUUGGGGAUGGACUCGCGGCUUAUCGGCUUGUUGGUGGGGUAGUGGCUUACCAAGGCGUUGACGGGUAGCCGGCCUGAGGGGGUGACCGGCAACAUUGGGACUGGGAUAGGGCCCGGACUCCUACGGGAGGAAGCAGUGGGGAAUAUUGCACAAUGGGCGGAAGCCUGAUGAGGCAACGCCGGGUGGGGAAUGACGGCUUUCGGGUGGAAAACCGCUUUGGCCUGUGACGAAGCGUGAGUGACGGUAAUGGGUAAAGAAGCACCGGCUAACUACGUG